Molecule: long non-coding RNA, 2424 nt
Organism: Cucumis sativus (cucumber)
Lineage: Eukaryota; Viridiplantae; Streptophyta; Magnoliopsida; Cucurbitales; Cucurbitaceae
Exons: 3
Source: RefSeq, a predicted model, not a curated record
UUGGUGAUCUCCUCAGACCAUCGCGAACGAAGUUUACUCGAAAACAAAUGUAGAUGUGAAUUGAAAUGUAAUAACUUUUGCCUGACCUGCAACUCGCGCCUCAAUGCAGUUGUCGUGCCACGCUUUCAUCUUCUCUUUAUAAAUGUUUUCAUUCUUGUAGUCUUGAGAGUGCCAUUCAUGAAGCUCAUUCAACUGCAUUAACCUAGCUUCUCCUGCGGCUUGAUGGUCGAAAUUUAACUUUUCACAAGCCCAAAAGUGCUUUCUACUUCAUCUCCAAUGGUAAAUGGCAAGCCUUCCCGAAAACUAGCGCAUAUGGGGACAUGCCAAUACGCGUCUUAUAUGCUGUGGAAUAUGCUCAUAAUGCAAAAUCUAGUUGAUCUACCCAGUCUUUGCGAGAUAAACUUACCACCUUUUCCAGUAUCUUCUUGAUUUAUCUGUUGGAGACUUUCGCUUGACCAUUUGUUUGAAGAUGGAAUUUGCUGAAUGUAACAGCAUCAUUCUACGCACAAGAGAUGGCUUCAACACAUUUGAAUACAUAGUCAACACCAACAAGAUAUAUAUAUAUAUGGCCACCAAAUGAGAUGAAAGAAACGGCCCCAUAAAUCAAUUCUCCAUACAUCGAAGAGUUCAAUUUCCAGGAUGGACUGUUCAGGUUUUUGGCUUCGCUUCAAACUUUCGGCUUCAGUUCGCGUUCUCCGCUUAUUUUUGUUCUUUUGGUAUUUUUGUUUUUCGUUCGGUUGUAAUAUGUUUGAAAUAGAUUUUCUUCUUUUUCUAUUUGUUUGAAAUCGAUUUCUUCAUUUUUUGUUUGAUUGUGGUGUGUUGUUACUUAGGGUUAAGGUCUAUUUGUGAUAUGUUUAUAUAUUAUUAAUAGACUUGAGAGAUAUUUAGUUUGUUUGCAUUGAGAUGUUAAUAGAUAAUUUAGUUUUAUGUACAUUUUUGUGUGUUGUUUAAAGUUCUAUCAAUGAUAUUUCUAUCAGCUUGUUUGUGUUGGGAAGUUAGUAGCAGCUCUAUUUUAAAGUACAUUUUUUGUGUGAUGUUGCUUAGAAUCUAUCAGUGAUAUGUUUCUAUCACUAAUUGAUAGAUUUGGAGGAUGUUGAACUUGUUUAUGUUGGGAUGUUAAACUUUUUUUUUUACAUACUAAUCUGUUUGUUUGCGCUAAGGUGUGUUGGUAGAUGUUUUAGGUUAUGUGCUUAGGGUUAUGGUCUAUUAGUGAUAUGUUUGUAUCAGUGAUAGACUUGGGAGAUGUUUAGUUUAUUUGCAUUGAGACGUUAGUAGAUGCUUUAGUUCAAUGUGCAUUUUUAUAUGUUGUUGCAUAGAAUCUAUUAGUGAUAUGUUUCUAUUAUUGAUAGACUUGUUAGACUUUGAGGAUGUUUAGUUUGUUUACGCUAAGGUGUGUUGUGGAUGUUUUAGUUUAUGUGCAAUUAUUUAUGUGAUGUUUCUUAAACUAUCAAUGAUACAUUCUAUCAUUGAUAAACUUGGAAUAUGUUUAGGGAUGUUAGUAGAUAAUUUAGUUUAAUGUGCAUUUUUUUGUGAUGUUGCUUAAAGGUCUUUUAGUGAUUGAUUUCUAUCACUAAUGGAUUUGGAAGAUGUUUAGAUUACUUGCAUUAUAAUAUAUAUUUAUAAACCCUAAUUCAAGCUCUAGUCUAAAGUAAAUUAUGUGUGGGAUGUUGCUUAUGUUCUAUCAGUGAUAUGUUUCUAUCACUAACUGGUAGAUUUGGAGGAUGUUGACUUGUUUCUUCAACAUGUUAAUCAUUUUUCAAUUUGUGUUUUGUUGCUUAGGGUUAUAGUCUAUCAGUGAUAUGUUUGUAUCAGUGAUAGACUUGAGAGAUGUUUAGUUUGUUUACAUUGAGGCGUUAGUAGAUGCUUUAGUUCAAUGUGCAUUUUUCUAUAUGUUCUUGCUUAGGAUCUAUCAAUAAUAUGUUUCUUUUGUUGAUAGACUUUAAGGAUGUUUGGUUUGUUUGCGCUAAGGUGUGUUGUGAAUGUUUUAGUUUAUGUGCAUUUAUUUAUGUGAUGUUUCUUAAACUAUGAAUGAUACAUUCUAUCAUUGAUAGACUUGGAAGAUGUUUAAAUUUUUUUCAUUAUAAUAUAUAUUUAUAAACUCUAAUUCAACAUUAUCAUUUUAGGUUGUUCAAGAAAAAAAAAAUGAAAACAGUGGAAUUAGCAAAGGAUGUUAAAAAUGUUGGACCGAAGAGACAACUUAACCGAUCAAAGAAAAUGUUGGAAUGCAAAAGACUAGAAUAUUGCAAUAGACCGGUUGAUUUGUUCCUAUUUUUGAUUUGCAACUCUUUCAUUGAGUAAAUGAAUAUUGUAUUAUUAUUUUUGUGGAUAUUUCAUGAUAGAAAACAUCAAUGAUAGAUUUCAUGCUUUAUUUGAUUUUGUUCGAUUGAUAUAAAAAAGUGUUGGACCACAGGUUGAAUAUUGCAA